Molecule: ribosomal RNA, 253 nt
Filed under: uncultured bacterium
Lineage: Bacteria
Description: partial 16S ribosomal RNA
Rfam family: Bacterial small subunit ribosomal RNA
Source: RNAcentral
GACGUAGGGGGCCAGCGUUGUUCGGAAUUACUGGGUGUAAAGGGUUCGUAGGCGGUGUGGCAAGUCGGGAGUGAAAUCUCUGGGCUCAACCCAGAGUCUGCUUCCGAAACUGCUGUGCUGGAGUGAUGAAGAGGUUUGUGGAAUUCCUGGUGUAGCGGUGAAAUGCGUUGAUAUCAGGAGGAACACCGAUGGCGAAGGCAGCAAACUGGUCAUCAACUGACGCUGAGGCGCGAAAGCGUGGGUAGCAAACAGG